RNAcentral lists this ribosomal RNA (253 nucleotides) under uncultured bacterium. RNAcentral's name for it is "partial 16S ribosomal RNA". It matches the Rfam family "Bacterial small subunit ribosomal RNA", at positions 524 to 776 of the family's 1533-position model. The record is from RNAcentral.
UACGUAGGGUGCAAGCGUUAAUCGGAAUUACUGGGCGUAAAGCGUGCGCAGGCGGUUUUGUAAGUCUGACGUGAAAUCCCCGAGCUUAACUUGGGAAUUGCGUUGGAGACUGCAAGGCUGGAGUCUGGCAGAGGGGGGUAGAAUUCCACGUGUAGCAGUGAAAUGCGUAGAGAUGUGGAGGAACACCGAUGGCGAAGGCAGCCCCCUGGGUCAAGAUUGACGCUCAUGCACGAAAGCGUGGGGAGCAAACAGG